UGCUGACGAGUGGCGAACGGGUGAGUAAUGCAUCGGAACGUGCCCAGUCGUGGGGGAUAACGCAGCGAAAGCUGCGCUAAUACCGCAUACGAUCUAUGGAUGAAAGCGGGGGACCGUAAGGCCUCGCGCGAUUGGAGCGGCCGAUGUCAGAUUAGGUAGUUGGUGGGGUAAAGGCUCACCAAGCCGACGAUCUGUAGCUGGUCUGAGAGGACGACCAGCCACACUGGGACUGAGACACGGCCCAGACUCCUACGGGAGGCAGCAGUGGGGAAUUUUGGACAAUGGGCGCAAGCCUGAUCCAGCAAUGCCGCGUGCAGGAAGAAGGCCUUCGGGUUGUAAACUGCUUUUGUACGGAACGAAAAGGCUCUGGUUAAUACCCGGGGCUGAUGACGGUACCGUAAGAAUAAGCACCGGCUAACUACGUGCCAGCAGCCGCGGUAAUACGUAGGGUGCAAGCGUUAAUCGGAAUUACUGGGCGUAAAGCGUGCGCAGGCGGUGAUGUAAGACAGGUGUGAAAUCCCCGGGCUUAACCUGGGAACUGCAUUUGUGACUGCAUCGCUGGAGUGCGGCAGAGGGGGAUGGAAUUCCGCGUGUAGCAGUGAAAUGCGUAGAUAUGCGGAGGAACACCGAUGGCGAAGGCAAUCCCCUGGGCCUGCACUGACGCUCAUGCACGAAAGCGUGGGGAGCAAACAGGAUUAGAUACCGUGGUAG
This 711-nucleotide ribosomal RNA is filed under the name uncultured Hydrogenophaga sp. RNAcentral describes it as "bacterial SSU rRNA". It matches the Rfam family "Bacterial small subunit ribosomal RNA", at positions 86 to 793 of the family's 1533-position model. Lineage: Bacteria; Pseudomonadati; Pseudomonadota; Betaproteobacteria; Burkholderiales; Comamonadaceae. The record is from RNAcentral.